This 168-nucleotide ribosomal RNA is filed under the name Deltaproteobacteria bacterium. RNAcentral's name for it is "partial 23S ribosomal RNA". It matches the Rfam family "Bacterial large subunit ribosomal RNA", at positions 2746 to 2925 of the family's 2925-position model. Lineage: Bacteria; Pseudomonadati; Myxococcota; Myxococcia. The record is from RNAcentral.
UAGCUAUGUUCGGAAGGGAUAACCGCUGAAAGCAUCUAAGCGGGAAGCCUGCCUCAAGAUAAGAUUUCCCUGAAGGACCCCGGAAGACUACCGGGUUGAUAGGUCGAUUGUGUAAGCACGGUAACGUGUUAAGCUUAUCGAUACUAAUUGUCCGUUCGGCUUUCCAUU